This 447-nucleotide ribosomal RNA is filed under the name uncultured bacterium. RNAcentral describes it as "bacterial SSU rRNA". It matches the Rfam family "Bacterial small subunit ribosomal RNA", at positions 330 to 793 of the family's 1533-position model. The record is from RNAcentral.
ACCAGACUCCUACGGGAGGCAGCAGUGGGGAAUAUUGCACAAUGGGGGGAACCCUGAUGCAGCGACGCCGCGUGGGUGAAGGAGUAUUUCGGUAUGUAAAGCCCUAUCAGCAGGGAAGAACAAUGACGGUACCUGACUAAGAAGCCCCGGCUAACUACGUGCCAGCAGCCGCGGUAAUACGUAGGGGGCAAGCGUUAUCCGGAUUUACUGGGUGUAAAGGGGGCGCAGACGGCGAUGCAAGCCAGGAGUGAAAGCCCGGGGCCCAACCCCGGGACUGCUCUUGGAACUGCGUGGCUGGAGUGCAGGAGGGGCAGGCGGAAUUCCUUGUGUAGCGGUGAAAUGCGUAGAUAUAAGGAGGAACACCAGUGGCGAAGGCGGUCUGCUGGACAGCAACUGACGGUGAGGCGCGAAAGCGUGGGGAGCAAACAGGAUUAGAUACCCCCGUAC